This 198-nucleotide small nucleolar RNA is filed under the name Galleria mellonella (greater wax moth). Its description in RNAcentral is "Small nucleolar RNA U3". It matches the Rfam family "Small nucleolar RNA U3". From Rfam's summary of the family: Small nucleolar RNAs (snoRNAs) are involved in the processing and modification of rRNA in the nucleolus. There are two main classes of snoRNAs: the box C/D class, and the box H/ACA class. U3 snoRNA is a member of the box C/D class. Lineage: Eukaryota; Metazoa; Arthropoda; Insecta; Lepidoptera; Pyralidae. The record is from Rfam by way of RNAcentral.
AAGACCUUACUUCAUAGGAUCAUUUCUAUAGUAAGCUCUUCACCCAGAAACUCGCAAUAUGUGAGGGCACACAAGCCACGAUGACGAGACGUGGCGCGGUACCCUGAGCGUGAGGCGGGCGAUGGUGGUUCACCAUCAGCCCUCGAUGAUCGUUCGCUCCCUUCGGGGAGAGUGGGGCACUGUCGCUUUCUGAGUGGU